Molecule: RNA transcript, 2961 nt
Organism: Agrilus planipennis (emerald ash borer)
Lineage: Eukaryota; Metazoa; Arthropoda; Insecta; Coleoptera; Buprestidae
Gene name: actin-like protein 6B
Exons: 9
Source: RefSeq, a predicted model, not a curated record
GUUUGUAAACACUGUGGUUGUUGAAACCUUUUCGUCUAUUAAAGUGUUUAUCUAGCUUGGCCUUUUUUAGAUUGCAAUAAAAUGCCAAAUAUUAACUUUAAAGUAAGAUAUAUGUAAUAAUUUGUUGCUGUUAAAUACUUUCAGAUCCGAACAAUAUGAGUGGAGCUGUGUAUGGUGGAGAUGAAGUCGGAGCUUUAGUCUUAGAUAUUGGCCAGAAUACAAUUAGAGCAGGUUACGGUGGUGAAGACAGCCCUAAGUUAGAUAUACCAUCUGCAGUUGGUACAUGGACUGAAUCAAAUAAUGAUACAGAUGAUGUACAUUACAAAUAUAAUAUUGGUUUAACAGCAAUACAUGUUAAAAAACCAGAUAUGGAACUGGUUACUCUUUUAAAAGAUGGAAUGAUAGAAAAUUGGGAUAUUUUUGAGAAUGUACUUGAUUAUAUCUAUAAGCAAGGUUUAGGUGCAAUUCCAAGGGAUCACCCUAUGUUAAUCACAGAACCACCAUGGAUAACUAUUCCUAAAAGGGAACAAUUAGUUGAAAUGAUGUUUGAAAAAUAUAAAGUUCCUGCAUUAUACUUGGGUAAAAAUGCUGCUUUAGCUGCUUUUGCAAAUGGUCGUCCAACCUGUUUAGUUGUUGAUAGUGGUGCUACUCAUACUUCUGCUGUUCCUGUACAUGAUGGAUUUGUGUUAACACAAGCAGUUGUUAAGUCACCUGUAGGGGGUGACUAUAUAAGUCAACAGUGCAGAAAUUAUCUGGAAGAGAAAGGAAUUGAAAUAAUUCCUCCUUACAUGGUUGCAAGUAAAGAAAUCACAAAACCAGAUGAAGCCCCUAAUUGGCAAAAACGCUCCUCAUUACCUAAAGUUACUAAAUCAUGGCAUAAUUAUAUGAUUAAAGAAGUUAUGCAAGACUUCCAAGCUUCAGUUCUUCAAGUGUCUGAUAAUGUGUAUGAUGAAGAAGUUGUUAAAAGUAUGCCAGCAAUACACUAUGAAUUUCCAAAUGGUUUUCAUAAGGAUUUUGGCGUGGAGCGUUUUAAAAUUCCAGAACCACUUUUUAAUCCAACUGCAGGGGCCAAAGCUGGAAUUCAGCCCAUUCUUGGGGUAGGCCCAUUAGUUACAACGAGUGUUGGAAUGUGUGACAUGGAUAUUAGACCUGCCAUGUAUGGUAAUGUUGUGGUUACUGGAGGCAAUUCAAAUCUGCAAGGUUUUACGGAACGGCUUAAUCGAGAUUUGGCUGCUAAGACUCCACCUAUAUUUAUGGAGACGUUUACUUAAGUGGACAUCAGCCUGAAUCCUUCCGUGUUGAAGCAAUGCUUGAUUAGCAGUACCUGUGCUUUCGUGGUGGUUAUAUGUAUGGGUAAAGUAAAAAAUUAUGCAGAAAGGAAAUACCAUUUUUCAUAAAAAUCGUAUUCGAAUAAUUUAGAAAAGCUGCCUUGUUUGAUUGCAAAUUUUAAAAUGCCUACUUUUAUAAGAUACACUACUAUAAGUGUAUAGUAUUUGGAACUUAAAAAAUGUUCAAUUUAUAUCCAAAAUGAUAUCUGAAAAAAACAGUCUUAUUAAUUUAUUUCAAUAUUUUGUUUUAUAAUAAUUCACACAUUGAGAUGAACUUUGUUACUAAAAAAACAAACAUCAAGUACCUUUUUUACAUUUUAAUUAGCCGCAAUACAGCUUCUAAAGCCAUUGCAUUCAAAAUUCGAUAGCACAUUAUAUUAUCAUUUAAAACUGCUAAUAUAAUCUAUUUACUAACUUAAUUUCCUUACAUCUAUCUGUUUUGGGUAACAACCAUCCCAUCACAAAAUUACUUAAAUAGAAAAUACACUUUCAAAGUAGAGUACCUACCUAAUUAUAGUUUAAUUAUUUCAUUGCACAUCUUAGAUUGAAAGCGUAUUUGUUAUUUGAUUAAUUUUGUCACUCUAUCAGAAAUUGGGUCCAGCUGAUUUCUAAGAAGCUAAAGAAGGAUUUGUGUCUGUAACAGUAAGAAAUCAACUCCCCAUCAACUUUCGAAAUUCAGGAAUUUACCUUCACAUUAGUAACAACUCUUUUUUAUUAAAGCUUUUGAAAUUAACUAAUUAAAUAAAUUUUGGAUAAGUUACUAAAUUUUAGAAAGAAGUGGAUCCAGAUCCUGCCAGUUUGCCACCGUCGUAUUUAUGGAGCUAAUUUGAAGGAAAGUAGAUGUACCUUUACAACAAGGAGAAAUCACCUAAAUCUUCGAAUUAUAUUUUUGUAAAUUUCAGAUACCUGAUUAGUGACUUGAAAAUUAAAUACUUCUUAAGAAAUAAGUUAUUUAAUAACACUUUCAAAGAUUUGUUUGCAUUUGAGGAAACUUUUAAUUUAUAAAUUUAAUUAAGUAACUACUUUUUUGAAAAUGCAUUUUAUUUAAAGUUAGUUCUAAAUAUUAACUUAAGACGUUUUUGUAUUUAAUAAAAGUGAUAUAUCUUGUUUUGCUUACGUAGUAUAAGCCCCAGAAUAAUGGUAUAAUUUAAUAUAUUUGUGUAUUUAUUUAAUGAAACUAAUAUAUACUGUGUAGCUUACUUAGCAUAAGUCGUAGAAUAAUGCAUUAAUUUAAGAUAUUUUUCUUUAUUUAACAAAACUUAUAACGUGUUGCUUACUUACUAUAAGACGUAGAAUAAUGCAUUAAUUUAAGAUAUUUUUCUGUAUUUAAUAAAACUUAUAACUUGUUGCUUAUUUAGUAUAAUCCUUAGAGUAACAUAAUUUUAGAUAGACUAAGUAGCUAGUUAUAAUUAGUUUAAUAUAUUUCUGUAUUUAAUAAAAUUGACUUAACCGUGUUACUUAACUUAGCAUAAGGAGUAGAAUAAUAUAAUUUUAGAUAGAUUUUAAGUAUUAUUAAACGUACAAAUGUGUUAUUAUUAAUACGGUAACCUCUGAAAUUUCGUAAAACAUUCAUAUCAAUAAACCUACUCGUUUUUCUGUUGUAUGUUGUAUGUAUUAUAUAUUAUGCAGUUAU